This 524-nucleotide ribosomal RNA is filed under the name uncultured bacterium. RNAcentral's name for it is "bacterial SSU rRNA". It matches the Rfam family "Bacterial small subunit ribosomal RNA", at positions 355 to 896 of the family's 1533-position model. The record is from RNAcentral.
UGGGGAAUAUUGGACAAUGGACCAAAAGUCUGAUCCAGCAAUUCUGUGUGCACGAUGACGUUUUUCGGAAUGUAAAGUGCUUUCAGUUGGGAAGAAAAAAAUGACGGUACCAACAGAAGAAGUGACGGCUAAAUACGUGCCAGCAGCCGCGGCAAUACGUAUGUCACAAGCGUUAUCCGGAUUUAUUGGGCGUAAAGCGCGUCUAGGUGGUUAUGUAAGUCUGAUGUGAAAAUGCAGGGCUCAACUCUGUAUUGCGUUGGAAACUGUAUGACUAGAGUACUGGAGAGGUAAGCGGAACUACAAGUGUAGAGGUGAAAUUCGUAGAUAUUUGUAGGAAUGCCGAUGGGGAAGCCAGCUUACUGGACAGAUACUGACGCUAAAGCGCGAAAGCGUGGGUAGCAAACAGGAUUAGAUACCCUGGUAGUCCACGCCGUAAACGAUGAUUACUAGGUGUUGGGGGUCGAACCUCAGCGCCCAAGCUAACGCGAUAAGUAAUCCGCCUGGGGAGUACGUACGCAAGUAUG